This 529-nucleotide ribosomal RNA is filed under the name uncultured bacterium. RNAcentral describes it as "bacterial SSU rRNA". It matches the Rfam family "Bacterial small subunit ribosomal RNA", at positions 779 to 1308 of the family's 1533-position model. The record is from RNAcentral.
AAUAGACCCGGGUAGUCCACGCCGUAAACGAUGAGUGCUAAGUGUUAGAGGGUUUCCGCCCUUUAGUGCUGAAGUUAACGCAUUAAGCACUCCGCCUGGGGAGUACGGCCGCAAGGCUGAAACUCAAAGGAAUUGACGGGGGCCCGCACAAGCGGUGGAGCAUGUGGUUUAAUUCGAAGCAACGCGAAGAACCUUACCAGGUCUUGACAUCCUCUGACAACCCUAGAGAUAGGACUUCUCCUUCGGGAGCAGAGUGACAGGUGGUGCAUGGUUGUCGUCAGCUCGUGUCGUGAGAUGUUGGGUUAAGUCCCGCAACGAGCGCAACCCUUGAUCUUAGUUGCCAUCAUUUAGUUGGGCACUCUAAGGUGACUGCCGGUGACAAACCGGAGGAAGGUGGGGAUGACGUCAAAUCAUCAUGCCCCUUAUGACCUGGGCUACACACGUGCUACAAUGGACGGUACAAAGAGCUGCAAGACCGCGAGGUGGAGCUAAUCUCAUAAAACCGUUCUCAGUUCGGAUUGUAGGCUGC